GACGAACGCUGGCGGCGUGCUUAACACAUGCAAGUCGAACGAGAGCGUAGAGAAAGCUUGCUUUUUCUACAAUCUAGUGGCAAACGGGUGAGUAACGCGUAAACAACCUGCCCUACGGAUGGGGACAACAGCUGGAAACGGCUGCUAAUACCGAAUACGUUCCGAAAGUCGCAUGACUAUCGGAAGAAAGGAUGGCCUCUAUUUAUAAGCUAUCGCCGGAGGAGGGGUUUGCGUCUGAUUAGCUAGGUGGAGGGGUAACGGCCCACCAAGGCGACGAUCAGUCUCCGGUCUGAGAGGAUGAACGGCCACAUUGGGACUGAGACACGGUCCAGACUCCUACGGGAGGCAGCAGUGGGGAAUCUUCCGCAAUGGGCGAAAGCCUGACGGAGCAACGCCGCGUGAGUGAAGACGGCCUUCGGGUUGUAAAGCUCUGUUAUACGGGACGAAUAAUCUUGUGGUUAAUACCCAUGAGAAGUGACGGUACCGUAAGAGAAAGCCACGGCUAACUACGUG
RNAcentral lists this ribosomal RNA (513 nucleotides) under uncultured bacterium. Its description in RNAcentral is "partial 16S ribosomal RNA". It matches the Rfam family "Bacterial small subunit ribosomal RNA", at positions 28 to 507 of the family's 1533-position model. The record is from RNAcentral.